RNAcentral lists this unclassified non-coding RNA (520 nucleotides) under uncultured Glomus. Its description in RNAcentral is "SSU rRNA". It matches the Rfam family "Eukaryotic small subunit ribosomal RNA", at positions 569 to 1090 of the family's 1831-position model. Lineage: Eukaryota; Fungi; Glomeromycota; Glomeromycetes; Glomerales; Glomeraceae. The record is from RNAcentral.
AGCAGCCGCGGUAAUUCCAGCUCCAAUAGCGUAUAUUAAAGUUGUUGCAGUUAAAAAGCUCGUAGUUGAAUUUCGGGAUCAAUGCGUCGGUCGUGCUUUCGGGUACGUACUGGUGUCAUUGGUUUCUCCUUUCUGACGAGCCGUGAUGUCAUUAAUUUGGUGUUACGGGUAGUUAGGACUGUUACUUUGAAAAAAUUAGAGUGUUUAAAGCAGGCAUUAGCUUGAAUACAUUAGCAUGGAAUAAUGAAAUAGGACGUUCGAUCCUAUUUUGUUGGUUUCUAGGAUCAACGUAAUGAUUAAUAGGGAUAGUUGGGAGCAUUAGUAUUCAAUUGUCAGAGGUGAAAUUCUUGGAUUUAUUGAAGACUAACUACUGCGAAAGCAUUUGCCAAGGAUGUUUUCAUUAAUCAAGAACGAAAGUUAGGGGAUCGAAGACGAUCAGAUACCGUCGUAGUCUUAACCAUAAACUAUGCCGACUAGGGAUCGGAUGAUGUUAAUUUUUAAUGACUCAUUCGGCGCCUUA